RNAcentral lists this ribosomal RNA (599 nucleotides) under Paracoccus homiensis. Its description in RNAcentral is "bacterial SSU rRNA". It matches the Rfam family "Bacterial small subunit ribosomal RNA", at positions 97 to 731 of the family's 1533-position model. The record is from RNAcentral. Lineage: Bacteria; Pseudomonadati; Pseudomonadota; Alphaproteobacteria; Rhodobacterales; Paracoccaceae.
GGCGGACGGGUGAGUAACGCGUGGGAACGUGCCCUUUGCUACGGAAUAGUCCCGGGAAACUGGGUUUAAUACCGUAUGUGCCCUUCGGGGGAAAGAUUUAUCGGCAAAGGAUCGGCCCGCGUUGGAUUAGGUAGUUGGUGGGGUAAUGGCCUACCAAGCCGACGAUCCAUAGCUGGUUUGAGAGGAUGAUCAGCCACACUGGGACUGAGACACGGCCCAGACUCCUACGGGAGGCAGCAGUGGGGAAUCUUAGACAAUGGGGGCAACCCUGAUCUAGCCAUGCCGCGUGAGUGAUGAAGGCCUUAGGGUUGUAAAGCUCUUUCAGCUGGGAAGAUAAUGACGGUACCAGCAGAAGAAGCCCCGGCUAACUCCGUGCCAGCAGCCGCGGUAAUACGGAGGGGGCUAGCGUUGUUCGGAAUUACUGGGCGUAAAGCGCACGUAGGCGGACUGGAAAGUUGGGGGUGAAAUCCCGGGGCUCAACCUCGGAACUGCCUCCAAAACUAUCAGUCUGGAGUUCGAGAGAGGUGAGUGGAAUACCGAGUGUAGAGGUGAAAUUCGUAGAUAUUCGGUGGAACACCAGUGGCGAAGGCGGCUCACUG